This 1632-nucleotide ribosomal RNA is filed under the name Escherichia coli. RNAcentral's name for it is "partial 23S ribosomal RNA". It matches the Rfam family "Bacterial large subunit ribosomal RNA", at positions 419 to 2036 of the family's 2925-position model. Lineage: Bacteria; Pseudomonadati; Pseudomonadota; Gammaproteobacteria; Enterobacterales; Enterobacteriaceae. The record is from RNAcentral.
GGGACACGUGGUAUCCUGUCUGAAUAUGGGGGGACCAUCCUCCAAGGCUAAAUACUCCUGACUGACCGAUAGUGAACCAGUACCGUGAGGGAAAGGCGAAAAGAACCCCGGCGAGGGGAGUGAAAAAGAACCUGAAACCGUGUACGUACAAGCAGUGGGAGCACGCUUAGGCGUGUGACUGCGUACCUUUUGUAUAAUGGGUCAGCGACUUAUAUUCUGUAGCAAGGUUAACCGAAUAGGGGAGCCGAAGGGAAACCGAGUCUUAACUGGGCGUUAAGUUGCAGGGUAUAGACCCGAAACCCGGUGAUCUAGCCAUGGGCAGGUUGAAGGUUGGGUAACACUAACUGGAGGACCGAACCGACUAAUGUUGAAAAAUUAGCGGAUGACUUGUGGCUGGGGGUGAAAGGCCAAUCAAACCGGGAGAUAGCUGGUUCUCCCCGAAAGCUAUUUAGGUAGCGCCUCGUGAAUUCAUCUCCGGGGGUAGAGCACUGUUUCGGCAAGGGGGUCAUCCCGACUUACCAACCCGAUGCAAACUGCGAAUACCGGAGAAUGUUAUCACGGGAGACACACGGCGGGUGCUAACGUCCGUCGUGAAGAGGGAAACAACCCAGACCGCCAGCUAAGGUCCCAAAGUCAUGGUUAAGUGGGAAACGAUGUGGGAAGGCCCAGACAGCCAGGAUGUUGGCUUAGAAGCAGCCAUCAUUUAAAGAAAGCGUAAUAGCUCACUGGUCGAGUCGGCCUGCGCGGAAGAUGUAACGGGGCUAAACCAUGCACCGAAGCUGCGGCAGCGACGCUUAUGCGUUGUUGGGUAGGGGAGCGUUCUGUAAGCCUGUGAAGGUGUGCUGUGAGGCAUGCUGGAGGUAUCAGAAGUGCGAAUGCUGACAUAAGUAACGAUAAAGCGGGUGAAAAGCCCGCUCGCCGGAAGACCAAGGGUUCCUGUCCAACGUUAAUCGGGGCAGGGUGAGUCGACCCCUAAGGCGAGGCCGAAAGGCGUAGUCGAUGGGAAACAGGUUAAUAUUCCUGUACUUGGUGUUACUGCGAAGGGGGGACGGAGAAGGCUAUGUUGGCCGGGCGACGGUUGUCCCGGUUUAAGCGUGUAGGCUGGUUUUCCAGGCAAAUCCGGAAAAUCAAGGCUGAGGCGUGAUGACGAGGCACUACGGUGCUGAAGCAACAAAUGCCCUGCUUCCAGGAAAAGCCUCUAAGCAUCAGGUAACAUCAAAUCGUACCCCAAACCGACACAGGUGGUCAGGUAGAGAAUACCAAGGCGCUUGAGAGAACUCGGGUGAAGGAACUAGGCAAAAUGGUGCCGUAACUUCGGGAGAAGGCACGCUGAUAUGUAGGUGAAGCGACUUGCUCGUGGAGCUGAAAUCAGUCGAAGAUACCAGCUGGCUGCAACUGUUUAUUAAAAACACAGCACUGUGCAAACACGAAAGUGGACGUAUACGGUGUGACGCCUGCCCGGUGCCGGAAGGUUAAUUGAUGGGGUCAGCGCAAGCGAAGCUCUUGAUCGAAGCCCCGGUAAACGGCGGCCGUAACUAUAACGGUCCUAAGGUAGCGAAAUUCCUUGUCGGGUAAGUUCCGACCUGCACGAAUGGCGUAAUGAUGGCCAGGCUGUCUCCACCCGAGACUCAG